Molecule: ribosomal RNA, 253 nt
Filed under: uncultured bacterium
Lineage: Bacteria
Description: partial 16S ribosomal RNA
Rfam family: Bacterial small subunit ribosomal RNA
Source: RNAcentral
UACAGAGGGUGCAAGCGUUAAUCGGACUUACUGGGCGUAAAGGGCGCGUAGGCGGAUGCGUAAGUCAGAUGUGAAAGGCCAUGGCUUAACCAUGGAAUGUCAUUUGAGACUGCGUGUCUAGAGUCGAAGAGAGGGGAGCGGAAUUUCCGGUGUAGCGGUGAAAUGCGUAGAUAUCGGAAGGAACACCCGUAGCGAAGGCGGCUUCCUGGAUUCAGACUGACGCUGAGGCGCGAAAGCGUGGGUAGCGAACAGG